RNAcentral lists this ribosomal RNA (253 nucleotides) under uncultured bacterium. RNAcentral describes it as "partial 16S ribosomal RNA". It matches the Rfam family "Bacterial small subunit ribosomal RNA", at positions 524 to 776 of the family's 1533-position model. The record is from RNAcentral.
UACGUAGGCAGCGAGCGUUGUUCGGAGUUACUGGGCGUAAAGGGUGUGUAGGCGGUUUUCUAAGUCUGGUGUGAAAUCUCCCGGCUCAACUGGGAGGGUGCGCCGAAAACUGGAAGGCUAGAGUGCGGGAUGGGUAAGUGGAAUUCCUGGAGUAGCGGUGAAAUGCGUAGAUAUCAGGAGGAACACCUGUGGUGUAGACGGCUUACUGGACCGCAACUGACGCUGAAACACGAAAGCGUGGGUAGCAAACAGG